UCUUAAAAUAGCAUUAAAACAGACUCAUAAUCUGGAGGUCCUAGGUUCAAGCCCUAGCUGGUCCA
This 65-nucleotide transfer RNA is filed under the name Caudoviricetes sp. Its description in RNAcentral is "tRNA-Met". It matches the Rfam family "tRNA". Rfam says of the family: Transfer RNA (tRNA) molecules are approximately 80 nucleotides in length. Their secondary structure includes four short double-helical elements and three loops (D, anti-codon, and T loops). The record is from RNAcentral. Lineage: Duplodnaviria; Heunggongvirae; Uroviricota; Caudoviricetes.